AAUGAUCCUGGGCCAUUGGAUUUGGGAUGUAGGGCACAAAUUAGAGAGGAGGGAUCUGUACAGAUUAUUUGCGAAACUUUCCCUUUGCUUCCCACGAAUUUUAUUGAGGUCCUUCUACUUCUAACGACACAGCUCCCUCUCCGGCUGCCCAGAUCCGGUGAUUCCCUGGUGGACGACGACUACUCCACGACCGCUCCCUGCCUCCUCCCCCUCCCACUCCGGCAUCCAGGUUGGAUGACUCCAUCUCCCGGUCACCCCAUCGCCGCGCUGCACAUCGUCGUCAGGGACCAAGGCGCCGCCGCCACGGCGUCCUCCUCCCCGGUGGCCGCGGGUGCCCCGCCCGCCAAGCUACCCCUUCUUAUCUUUCCGGAGGCGAUCUGGUAGUGCUCGAGCGCGCGGUGAUGCGGCCACGAUAUCCUCCUCCCCGGUGCUCCUAGAUCUAGCAAUAGCUCACCGGAGGCAAGCCGGGGUGCUCGAUCUGCUCGCCUCCUUCGCCUCGCAGGCUCAGCAAGCAGAAUCAAGGGGAGGUACGUAUUUGGAUGUAGCUCACUGGCCAGGAGAACCUGCGGUGCCAGCAGACCAAUCUAAUCCGUAGGUGCUGAAUGUGCAUACAGUUAUGUAGUAUGUGCAAUUUACUUGCUCUGUUUUUUAUGGCGAUUUUGGAAUUGUUCAUACAUGCAUGAUCCAUAUCCGUUCUGUGAUUUCCGUUGUCUAUUUCCUGAUGACCCAAGUGUGUUUUAUUUUCAUCUUUCUUUGUCUUGAUAUAGCUGAAGGUCAACUGCUAGCCCAUUUGUGCAAUUCACUAAUUUAGUUGUGGCUGCUUGCUCAAAGUCUCUUUUAUAGUUGGCCAGCAUAUUAUCGUGGAAAAAUGUUUAACUGUUUUGGCUGGAACGAAACCAAAGCUGAUUAUUUUGAAAAUGCAUCAUACCGCGCUGAUUUACUAUAAUAUCAUGCGUCAUCAGGUUUUGGCAUAUACUUUUGAGUUAUAUAUCGCCAUGCCAAGUUGCCAACUAAUGAUACUCCCUCCGUUCGGAAUUAUUUGUCGGAUAAAUGGAUGUAUCUAGACGUAUUUUAGUUCUAAAUACAUCCAUUUCUGAGACAAGUAAUUCCGAACGGAGGGAGUACAUGGUUAUGUUUGAAGAACAAUGUUGAGUAGUGCAAGGUUACACCAGCACAGUUUAAACACAUCUUUCUUUUUGUUGAUAGUUUUUUAGAUAGCUGACUGCUUAUGCCCAAUGGUAGUUUAAUCGGGCAUCUUAAAUUUUCUAAGAAUCACACCGCUGCGGCGCAGCACACUUAGGUUGUUGGCUGCUAGUUAGGAACAAAAGGUGCAUAAAGGUCCAAAAGCAAGAAAUGAUUUGAGUCGUAGUGCAUAAAGGUGCUUAAUUUCCAUCUCUUGAAUGAGGCCAUUCCAAAAAAUAUCUACUCACUGAUUCUCCAUUGUGAGGCCAUAAAUAUAACUGUAAAAUUUGGAUGUACACUUGAACAAGUUCAAUAAAUCAUGGAACAGCGAGAAUAUACACUUGUCUCCAUUAUUCUUUUGUAAGAUCAUUGCCUGAGAUAUUAUUUAGUAUGACUUUGAGAUUGUAGUGGUUUAGUAAGUAUAACAUUUUUAUUUUCAGUUUGCAUUCAUUGUAACGUUUCGCCUGAAAGAAACAAUACUCUCGUUGUGUGUGCCUUCUAAUUUGCAACCUUGCAAUUGGAGAUGAACUCUCAGUUUGUUAUGUUUCAAGACACUAAGCUUUGGGUACGAUGGUUAGAUGAGAGCUCAUUGACCAGUACUAAGCUCUGCCCCUGCCAUUCUACUGCUACAUCUUGAUGUGAAGUGGAAGAAAUUAGCACGACGCCGCCUUUAGGAGGCCCCAUGUUAAAAAAAAAAGGGAAACUAUGUACCAACACUAUCAGGUCAAGAAUAUCUUGAUGUAUGAAACAUUCUAUUAACCCCUUGUUUGAUGAUGUUUGCUCAAAAUUUGUUUACAGCCGUGGAGUUGGUCAACAGCGUUCAAAAUAAAGAUUUCAGCGAUGCUACCUCAUUUGCAGAGAUUAAUUCUCCAAUGCUCUCAUUGAUGAUUUCAGUACUCCAAAAUAUAUUACUAGAAGUGACAUACGAUCAGAUUUGUUCCUGCUAGUACAAUGAUUUGUUCUUGUGCUCCAAACUGAAUGAUUUGUUUGGUAUCAUCUUUUUCCAGCACAUGAAGAUUCAUGAGCAAGAAGCACUAUCAAUGGAUGCAAGCUUUGGUAGAGAUGCUUAUUCAGCGGGGAUCACUUCAGUCCUUCAUACUCGGGGUUCGAUGUUCAUGUCGUAGAAAAUGAUAUGUCAUGUUAUGUACCAAGUGAUAUAUGUAUGUGUCUUGUGUACUCAAAUUAGGAUGGAUGGCGUGGAACCGAAAAAGUUUCUGCCUAGGAUGAUCCUCUUGGACAUGUAUUCAAAAAUUCGUGCUGGACAUACACUGCCAUAUUUGUGUCUGGGUCCAUAUUUGAAUUUACUAGGAACAGAAUGGUUGUGACGAUUUGAAGUAGAAAAUGAUCAUGCCAUGAUAUGUACCAAGUUUAUGUAUUUAUGUGUAUUGUGUACUCCAAUUAGGA
Aegilops tauschii subsp. strangulata is the source of this 2586-nucleotide long non-coding RNA. RefSeq lists it as uncharacterized. The record is from RefSeq and is a predicted model, not a curated record. Lineage: Eukaryota; Viridiplantae; Streptophyta; Magnoliopsida; Poales; Poaceae.